CUGCUGGCCGGGCCUCAGGGCUGGGCGGGCACGGGAGGCCGGGGCUGGCCGCAGACAGCGCCCGACCGAGGGGCAGAGCCCGCACCAACCCUUCCCUCCUGCCGCUCUCUGCAGCUGGCACAGGACAGGAACCGAGCGGCUGAGGACCUGCGCCGGGCCCUGCCGUACCUGCAGAGCCCACAGGAGUCCCUGCGAGCGGCGGCCAUCAGGUUCAUGGAGAUGGUCGAGGUACCCAUGAGGGGACAGCAGGAAGAGCUCUAGGCCUUCAGUAAGGCCUUUUAAGCCCUGAGGAGGAAUGACAGCCCUUCCCAGACAAACAUAGUAGUUCAACUGAUAUUCAGUGAAAGAGCUGCAGAAGUAGGCUCAUCUGCUGGCUCAGAAGAAACAGUGUUCAUUUAAGACCUCCAGAUGCCAUGGAAGAUGAGAAUGCCUUGACACCAGAAGAGACCAGCUGGAGCUCCAGGCACAGCUAAUGACUGGCACAGCUGAGCCUGUGGGAAGCUCAUGUGGCUUCAGCCCUCUCCCUGCCUGUAGAUAGUUCCCUCCCUGCAGCCCUCAGACACUGCCUACUCCUUCUUUUUCCCUUCCACUCUCCCUCCCUUUUGACAGCUCCAUCCCCCCAGCCCUCAGACUGUGCCACCCCUUUUUUUGCCUCUCAGCUCAUCCCUUUGCUUUGUCUUCCAGCAAUAAACAGUUUGGCUUUUUCACUUAACCUGCAUCUGUGUGGAGCUGAAGGGUCACAAU
Molecule: long non-coding RNA, 744 nt
Organism: Poecile atricapillus (Black-capped chickadee)
Lineage: Eukaryota; Metazoa; Chordata; Aves; Passeriformes; Paridae
Exons: 3
Source: RefSeq, a predicted model, not a curated record